UACGUAGGGAGCAAGCGUUGUCCGGAAUCAUUGGGCGUAAAGCGCGCGUAGGUGGCUUCGUAAGUCCGCUGUGAAAGUCAAAGGCUCAACCUUUGAAAGCCGGUGGACACUGUGGAGCUAGAGUCCGGAAGAGGCGAGUGGAAUUCCUGGUGUAGCGGUGGAAUGCGCAGAUAUCAGGAGGAACACCAAUAGCGAAGGCAGCUCGCUGGGACGGUACUGACACUGAGGCGCGAAAGCGUGGGGAGCGAACAGG
RNAcentral lists this ribosomal RNA (253 nucleotides) under uncultured bacterium. Its description in RNAcentral is "partial 16S ribosomal RNA". It matches the Rfam family "Bacterial small subunit ribosomal RNA", at positions 524 to 776 of the family's 1533-position model. The record is from RNAcentral.